AGAACGAACGCUGGCGGCAUGCCUAACACAUGCAAGUCGAACGAGACCUUCGGGUCUAGUGGCGCACGGGUGCGUAACGCGUGGGAAUCUGCCCUUAGGUACGGAAUAACAGUGAGAAAUUACUGCUAAUACCGUAUGAUGUCUUCGGACCAAAGAUUUAUCGCCUAGGGAUGAGCCCGCGCAGGAUUAGCUAGUUGGUGGGGUAAAGGCCUACCAAGGCUACGAUCCUUAGCUGGUCUGAGAGGAUGAUCAGCCACACUGGGACUGAGACACGGCCCAGACUCCUACGGGAGGCAGCAGUGGGGAAUAUUGGACAAUGGGCGAAAGCCUGAUCCAGCAAUGCCGCGUGAGUGAAGAAGGCCUUCGGGUUGUAAAGCUCUUUUACCCGGGAAGAUAAUGACUGUACCGGGAGAAGUAAGCCCGGCUAACUCCGCGCCAGCAGCCGC
Molecule: ribosomal RNA, 446 nt
Filed under: uncultured bacterium
Lineage: Bacteria
Description: SSU rRNA
Rfam family: Bacterial small subunit ribosomal RNA
Source: RNAcentral